GGAGGGGGGCUAGCGUUGUUCGGGAAUUACUGGGGCGUAAAGCGCGCGUAGGCGGGCUGGUUAGUUGGGGGGUGAAAUCCCGAGGGCUCAACCUCGGGAACUGCCCUCAAUACUGCCAGUCUUGAGUUCGAGAGAGGUGAGUGGAAUUCCUAGUGUAGAGGUGAAAUUCGUAGAUAUUAGGAAGAACACCAGUGGCGAAGGCGGCUCACUGGCUCGAUACUGACGCUGAGGCGCGAAAGCGUGGGGAGCAAACAGGAUUAGAUACCCUGGUAGUCCACGCCGUAAACGAUGGGUGCUAGUUGUCAGGCAGCUUGCUGUUUGGUGACGCAGCUAACGCGUUAAGCACCCCGCCUGGGGACUACGGUCGCAAGACUA
Molecule: ribosomal RNA, 375 nt
Filed under: uncultured organism
Description: partial 16S ribosomal RNA
Rfam family: Bacterial small subunit ribosomal RNA
Source: RNAcentral